This 427-nucleotide ribosomal RNA is filed under the name uncultured bacterium. Its description in RNAcentral is "partial 16S ribosomal RNA". It matches the Rfam family "Bacterial small subunit ribosomal RNA", at positions 355 to 774 of the family's 1533-position model. The record is from RNAcentral.
UGGGGAAUAUUGCACAAUGGGCGCAAGCCUGAUGCAGCCAUGCCGCGUGUAUGAAGAAGGCCUUCGGGUUGUAAAGUACUUUCAGCGGGGAGGAAGGCGAUGCGGUUAAUAACCGCGUCGAUUGACGUUACCCGCAGAAGAAGCACCGGCUAACUCCGUGCCAGCAGCCGCGGUAAUACGGAGGGUGCCAGCGUUAAUCGGAAUUACUGGGCGUAAAGCGCACGCAGGCGGUCUGUCAAGUCGGAUGUGAAAUCCCCGGGCUCAACCUGGGAACUGCAUCCGAAACUGGCAGGCUUGAGUCUCGUAGAGGGGGGUAGAAUUCCAGGUGUAGCGGUGAAAUGCGUAGAGAUCUGGAGGAAUACCGGUGGCGAAGGCGGCCCCCUGGACGAAGACUGACGCUCAGGUGCGAAAGCGUGGGGAGCAAUCA